AUAGGAGUGGAAGUGAGAAGAUGGAGGAGAAGAGAGGUGAGGGAAGUAAGGAGGAAAAUGUAUCGUAUUGGAGAACAUUUUCUACUCUUGAAAGAUCUAUUUUCCACCUUUGUGAAAAUUAUUUUCCAUCCCUUUACUAGCCAAACAAUAAAAAAAUGAGGAAAUUAUGUUUUUUUUUUUUUUUUUUUUUUUUUUUAAUCUCUUUUAUUACUCUGUAUUAAUCGAAUGCUACGUACAAAGUACUCCGUAUCUAAUUACUUAUGAAUGUCGUGGACUCGUGGUACGGUAUUGAACCUACUAAAGCUUACCGAAGAAGAUUGAUCAAACUAGCGGGAAAUUAACAAAAAAAGUUGAACGUACUAAUUAAAGAAUCCUACUGAAGAAGCAAAAGAUUAUGUGACCAAAACUAGCGGGAAAUUAAAUUAAACGUUAUUUAUUCAUCAAUUAUUUUUAUUAUAAUAAAUACACUCACUCACUUUCCCUUCUCCAUUAACUCUCAUUGUGAUCAAACAUCCUUUUCCUUACAAAAUUCUCUCUCCACUUUUUCUUCAUUACAAAAUUCUCAUGAUCAAUUUCUUUUUCUGUUUGAAAUUUGUUUUUUAAUUAAAAUUUAAUUAUUACUGCUCAACUUAGAAAACUUGAUUUAUUCAGCUAGUUCAAAUUUACGUCGAUGUAGCAUGAUAUUGUUGCUACAUAUGCUCUUCAUUUCAUAUAUUUGUCGGAUCCUCGAUACUCGGACAUGAGUAUGGUCUGUGUGGACAAUGCAACACUUAUUUUGGGACUAAAAAGCCGAGUUUGAGUAACAUGGCUUGUUAAUAGCGUUUAUGUAAACUACUGAGUUACUGACUUUAUGAAACACUUGAAUUUUUCAGGGAAUAAAUCAAGGAGAAUAAGCGGAAGAGGGAAUCAGAUUGUCCUGGUGAUGCAAGUACUGUACGGCGGGUGUGUGUCUUUGACUCGCCAACUAAGGGUGAAGAGGAGCGUAAUGUGCGCAAGAGUAGAAGAGAGGUUGUGUUAGACGCGCUUGAGAAACUUGAAUUCCGAAAGGCUUUCUUAAUUUUGAACUACAUUGGGAGAUCGAAGCUGGAGGAUAUUGUUUCUGCUGAUCAAAUUAUGUGUUAUCAAAGGCUUUAUAUGAAGGAAUUUGAGGUUGAGAUAUGGAAUGAUUUUGCUAGAAGCAUUUGCCAGGAAAAGAGCGAGUUCUUAAGGUCAUAUUAUGCUUAUGGUUUCACAUAUAAUUUAUUGUGUCAUGCUCAAAUAGGUAUAAUUGUGAUGGAGAUAACUGCUAGUAAAAUGAACACACAAAAAGUUAUGUUUAUGGACAUUAUUAUUGGUAGGUCAUGAGUUCAUGACACCAUGGGAAGUAAAGUAUGUAUACAUACCUGCACAUAGAAUCUUAGCCGAAUCGAUUUGAUCAUUUUUGGUGAUGCUACAUAUACAAAUUUCAUGUGAAACUGUGUUGCUCUAAUUAUCUGGGGUUGGUACUAGGAUGACAAUUAUGACUAGACACUAGAGUGGAUGUCCCACACCUUGGGCAACAAUUGUGUUGUUUGAUAGGGUAGCUGCUGCAAAUUGCCGAACACUUAUUUGAAUCAUUCUAACAUAAUUUGUUUGAAAAUCAAAAUCCUAGGAUAAAUAUGAAAACACAUAACUUUGAUGUCAAGUUGUAAAUAGUUGGAGUUUUUCCA
Long non-coding RNA from Chenopodium quinoa (quinoa), 1688 nucleotides. RefSeq lists it as uncharacterized. Lineage: Eukaryota; Viridiplantae; Streptophyta; Magnoliopsida; Caryophyllales; Amaranthaceae. The record is from RefSeq and is a predicted model, not a curated record. The transcript is spliced from 3 exons.